This 1182-nucleotide long non-coding RNA is filed under the name Gallus gallus (chicken). Its description in RNAcentral is "lncRNA (ENSGALG00010003460.1)". Lineage: Eukaryota; Metazoa; Chordata; Aves; Galliformes; Phasianidae. The record is from RNAcentral.
AUGGGAUGGAGCUGGGAUGGGGUGGGAUGGGGUGGGGUGGGGUGGGAAUGGGAUGGAGAUGGGAUGGAAUGGGAUGGACUGGGAUGGGAUGGGAUGGGAUGGAGCUGGGAUGGGGUGGGAUGGGGUGGGGUGGGGUGGGAAUGGGAUGGACUGGGAUGGGAUGGGGUGGGAUGGGAUGGGAUGGGAUGGACUGGGAUGGACUGGGAUGGAGAUGGGGUGGACUGGGAUGGGAUGGGGUGGGGUGGGGUGGGAUGGGAUGGGAUGGGAAUGGGAUGGACUGGGAUGGAGAUGGGAUGGGGUGGGGUGGGAAUGGAAUGCACUGGGAUGGGAUGGGAUGGACUGGGAUGGAGAUGGGAUGGACUGGGAUGGACUGCGAUGGAGAUGGGAUGGACUGGGAUGGGAUGGGAUGGACUGGGAUAGACUGGGAUGGAGAUGGGAUGGACUGAGAUGGACUGGGAUGGACUGGGAUGGGAUGGAGAUGGACUGGGAUGGACUGGGAUGGACUGGGAUGGGACUGGGAUGGACUGGGAUGGACUGGGAUGGGAAUGGGAUGGACUGGGAUGGACUGGGAUGGAGAUGGGAUGGACUGGGAUGGACUGGGAUGGGAUGGGAUGGAGAUGGGAUGGGGUGCGGUGGGGUGGGGUGGGAUGGGGUGGACUGGGAUGGACUGGGAUGGACUGGGAUGGAGAUGGGAUGGACUGGGAUGGGAAUGGGAUGGACUGGGAUGGGAUGGAGAUGGACUGGGAUGGACUGGGAUGGAUGGGAUGGGAUGGGAUGGGAUGGGAUGGGAUGGGAUGGGGUGGGAUGGGGUGGACUGGGAUGGACUGGGAUGGAGAUGGGAUGGGGUGGGGUGGGAUGGAGCUGGGAUGGACUGGGAUGGAGAUGGGAUGGAGAUGGGAUGGGGUGGGGUGGGAAUGGGAUGGACUGGGAUGGAGAUGGGAUGGGAUGGGGUGGGAUGGGAUGGGAUGGACUGGGAUGGAGAUGGGAUGGAGAUGGGAUGGACUGCGAUGGGAUGGGGUGGGAUGGGGUGGACUGGGAUGGAAUGGGAUGGACUGAGAUGGACUGGGAUGGAAUGGGAUGGGAUGGGAUGGGAUGGGGUGGGAUGGACUGGGAUGGAAUGGGAUGGGAUGGGAUGGGGUGGGAUGGAGCUGGGAUGGACUGGGAUGGAAUGGGAUGGGAUGG